Molecule: ribosomal RNA, 903 nt
Filed under: Triticum aestivum (bread wheat)
Lineage: Eukaryota; Viridiplantae; Streptophyta; Magnoliopsida; Poales; Poaceae
Description: partial small subunit ribosomal RNA
Source: RNAcentral
AUGCUCGAUGUCAUGGAUGUCAUCAUCACGGUUCUCGAAGCGGAGAAGCUGCAGGUCGUGCUUGACAUGUUUAUCUGUGUCUGUGCUGCGUCGCACAUGUUUACGCCGGUAGUCAUCUCUCCAGAAGCCCAACGCAUUUUCAACGAGAUGGGUGGUGCGUUAGAGAGAGAAGGAAACAGGCUAUGGGAGAUCAUAUUAAACACGAUGAAGGAGGUGAGGACACUCAUGGAGGAAGAUGACUCAUUGGCUAUCGAGAUCUCGCGAGGAGGAGGCGAGGUUCACAACAACACUCGGUUCAUCAUGGAUUGCAUAGUAUGCAUGAAGAAUGCACGGACUUCAAUGAAAAGCUCUGCACUGAGCGACAACACUGAGAACCUUGGUGUCCUGAUCGAUGGUACAAUCGAUUAUCUAAAGAGCCUUCUCUUCACAAAAUCGGAGUCAUGCUCGGACCAAAGCCUCCGGUAUCUCUUCCUGCUCAACAAUUCCUAUUUCGUAGCUAAUGUGGUGUCUGAGUCAUCCUUCAUUGAUGAGCUGUGGGACCUCCAACUUGAACUUACACCUGAGUGUAACAAGUACAUGGAUAGUUAUAUCGAUGUUUCUUGGGGGCAUGUGCUCUCCUGCAUACCAAAAUCAGGUUUUCCUGGACCGAUCCAACGUUGGAUCAACACCUCUUCAGUGGCAAAAUUCGAGUCAGCAUUUCACAAAACAUACCAGACUCAGAAGUUGUGGAAGGUUCCGGACCCUGAGCUUAGAGAUGCGCUGCGGAUGGCUAUUACCGAAAGAGUCAUUUCAGGUUACCGUGACUACCUGGAGGAGCAUCCGGAGCUAGGGAAACACGUUGGCUGCCAAAGCAGCAGUCCUGAAGUUUUGGAGGGGAUGUUGGGAGAGCUAUUUGAAGGAUGA